RNAcentral lists this long non-coding RNA (1021 nucleotides) under Pan troglodytes (chimpanzee). RNAcentral's name for it is "long non-coding RNA NONPTRT002112". Lineage: Eukaryota; Metazoa; Chordata; Mammalia; Primates; Hominidae. The record is from RNAcentral.
GACGAUUCUCCUGUGCCGCCAGGGGAGAGUUUCCCACGGUUCUCGCCUUGAGACUGUGGCCACUGAGCGGGGACCUGUGAGAGGAACAAGAAGCUGCUGGCUGUGCCAGAAACAGGUUAGAUUCUGGGCGUGUGGGGAACAGGUUAGAUCCCAGGUGUGCGGGGCUGGGACAGAGUAAGCAGGGGUGUGGGGGAAGUGGGGGUGUGAGGAGGGCUCUAUUACAUAUAUGUUUUACUAUAAAUGUGGGGGGAAAUUUUGCUUUCUUAUCUGCUGGCACCAAAAUUUUUCUUACAGGCGGGAUCGAACUUCUUUUUAAGAGCACUUUUUCAUCAACUGCUUAAAGAGAAGAUAAAACUUUGAGCACCUGAAUAAUUAGGAGCCAAGAUGAUAAAAACAAACAAACAAACAAAAAACAGAAUAAAAGAAAACAGGUGUUUGGUCAGAGAGAAAAAAGAAGAGGAAAAACCCCGGAAGGGGAGCAGGAGGAGAAGCAACACUUGGGGAACAGGAAUUUCUCAUGUCUGAGUUUUUUGCAUUGGAAAUCUAGAUCUUUCUGUCUUCCUAAACCUUCUAAGGAAAGUCCAUAUAAAUAUCUUCUGUGGAAGGUUUAAUUUUAUUUCUGUAUUGUCCAAAUGAAGAAAAGGGACCCCUUUCCUGUCAGUGACACAAUAGCAAGGAGAGGAGAGGAUUUUUAAAUGAACGAAUUCAGCAGAAGCAGAGGCUCAGAGCUGGAGAAAAGCAUGAAAAUGUAAGCUUUUUAGGUCUCAGGAAUCUUGCAGAGGACCUUGGGCUUCCCUUAUAAAAGGUUGAGUCAUUCUGCCCAGGAUGUUGAGGGGACAGGGCCACAGCUGAUGUGUGGGUGACCCCUUAGCGUGGCUCAGUAUAAUCAGACAGCACCUAUACUUUAUUGGUUUGUAAUUGCAUAGAUUUUGAGUUUUCUUGUGCAAUAUCACCUUCAUAUUUCUUCAUAUUUCUGUGGUCUCGUCAUCUGUCUCUUGCUAUCAAGAAAAAUGACUGGCUG